This 100-nucleotide signal recognition particle RNA is filed under the name Treponema primitia ZAS-2. RNAcentral describes it as "Bacterial small signal recognition particle RNA". It matches the Rfam family "Bacterial small signal recognition particle RNA". From Rfam's summary of the family: The signal recognition particle (SRP) is a universally conserved ribonucleoprotein involved in the co-translational targeting of proteins to membranes. Archaeal SRP consists of a 7S RNA and homologues of the eukaryotic SRP19 and SRP54 proteins. Lineage: Bacteria; Pseudomonadati; Spirochaetota; Spirochaetia; Treponematales; Treponemataceae. The record is from Rfam by way of RNAcentral.
AGCCAGGACCCAUGCGAAUGAACGCCGCCCAACCCCGCCAGGUCCGGAAGGAAGCAACGGCAAGCGGAUGUUUGUUGCGCCGUGGUCAAUCCUGGCGGGG